Molecule: non-coding RNA, 316 nt
Organism: Pogona vitticeps (central bearded dragon)
Lineage: Eukaryota; Metazoa; Chordata; Lepidosauria; Squamata; Agamidae
Source: RefSeq, a predicted model, not a curated record
UAUUAAGUACUCUCCUAUUACAAAAUGGUGAGUCGUAACUGAUGAUGGAAGCUCAAUUCUCCAAUGAACUUCGCAGUUUAGAAGUCCUACCCGCCACCAUCGACCACCAUGUUCAGUGGCACUGCAGUGGACUUUGGACAUGCUUUUUCAAUUGCACAAGGGCAGAAACUGAAAUAUUCCAAAGCAUGAAGUAUCCGUUCCCACAGACUAUAAAGACUGCUGGAGAGAUCGUAGCCAGAUCAUAAGAGACAGAUAUUCUGUGCUUAGAGAUCCUCCAGUGAAAGUCACAGAAGUUAAAGCACAAGAUAACUUUUUG